AACGAACGCUGGCGGCAUGCCUAACACAUGCAAGUCGAACGAUGCCUUCGGGCAUAGUGGCGCACGGGUGCGUAACGCGUGGGAAUCUGCCCUUGGGUUCGGAAUAACUCAGAGAAAUUUGAGCUAAUACCGGGUGAUGACGUAAGUCCAAAGAUUUAUCGCCCAAGGAUGAGCCCGCGUAAAGAUUAGCUAGUUGGUGGGGUAAAGGCCUACCAAGGCGACGAUCUUUAGCUGGUCUGAGAGGAUGAUCAGCCACACUGGGACUGAGACACGGCCCAGACUCCUACGGGAGGCAGCAGUGGGAAUAUUGGACAAUGGGCGAAAGCCUGAUCCAGCAAUGCCGCGUGAGUGAUGAAGGCCUUAGGGUGUAAAGCUCUUUACCAGGGAUGAUAAUGACAGUACCUGGAGAAUAAGCUCCGGCUAACUCCGUGCCAGCAGCCGCGGUAAU
RNAcentral lists this ribosomal RNA (448 nucleotides) under uncultured bacterium. Its description in RNAcentral is "bacterial SSU rRNA". It matches the Rfam family "Bacterial small subunit ribosomal RNA", at positions 29 to 524 of the family's 1533-position model. The record is from RNAcentral.